UACGUAGGGUGCGAGCGUUAAUCGGAAUUACUGGGCGUAAAGCGUGCGCAGGCGGUUUUGUAAGCCAGAUGUGAAAUCCCCGGGCUUAACCUGGGAAUGGCAUUUGGGACUGCAAGGCUGGAGUUUGGCAGAGGAGACUGGAAUUCCUGGUGUAGCAGUGAAAUGCGUAGAUAUCAGGAGGAACACCGGUGGCGAAGGCGGCAUCCUGGACCGGUAUUGACGCUGAGGCGCGAAAGCCAGGGGAGCAAACGGG
Molecule: ribosomal RNA, 253 nt
Filed under: uncultured bacterium
Lineage: Bacteria
Description: partial 16S ribosomal RNA
Rfam family: Bacterial small subunit ribosomal RNA
Source: RNAcentral